AUUGAACGCUGGCGGUAGGCCUAACACAUGCAAGUCGAACGGCAGCACAGUAAUAGCUUGCGCUUACAGGGGGCGAGGGGCGGACGGGUCAUGGAUACAUCGGAAUCUACGGUUGCGUGGGUGAGGACGUAGGGAAACUUACGCUAAUACCGCAGACGACGUACGGGUGAAAGCAGUGGAUCUUCGGACCUUGCGCGAUUGAAUGAGCGGAUGUCGGAUUAGCUAGUUGGCGGGGUAAAGGCCCACCAAGGCGACGAUCCGUAGCUGGUCUGAGAGGAUGAUCAGCCACACUGGAACUGAGACACGGUCCAGACUCCUACGGGAGGCAGCAGUGGGGAAUAUUGGACAAUGGGCGAAAGCCUGAUCCAGCCAUACCGCGUGUGUGAAGAAGGCCUUCGGGUUGUAAAGCCCUUUUGUUGGGAAAGAAAAGCAGUAGGUUAAUACCACGCUGUUUUGACGGUACCAACAGAAUAAGCACCGGCUAACUUCGUG
RNAcentral lists this ribosomal RNA (492 nucleotides) under uncultured bacterium. Its description in RNAcentral is "partial 16S ribosomal RNA". It matches the Rfam family "Bacterial small subunit ribosomal RNA", at positions 30 to 507 of the family's 1533-position model. The record is from RNAcentral.